RNAcentral lists this ribosomal RNA (446 nucleotides) under uncultured bacterium. RNAcentral's name for it is "partial 16S ribosomal RNA". It matches the Rfam family "Bacterial small subunit ribosomal RNA", at positions 338 to 795 of the family's 1533-position model. The record is from RNAcentral.
CCUACGGGAGGCAGCAGUCGAGAAUCAUUCACAAUGGGGGAAACCCUGAUGGUGCGACGCCGCGUGGGGGAAUGAAGGUCUUCGGAUUGUAAACCCCUGUCAUGUGGGAGCAAAUUAAAAAGAUAGUACCACAAGAGGAAGAGACGGCUAACUCUGUGCCAGCAGCCGCGGUAAUACAGAGGUCUCAAGCGUUGUUCGGAAUCACUGGGCGUAAAGCGUGCGUAGGCUGUUUCGUAAGUCGUGUGUGAAAGGCGCGGGCUCAACCCGCGGACGGCACAUGAUACUGCGAGACUAGAGUAAUGGAGGGGGAACCGGAAUUCUCGGUGUAGCAGUGAAAUGCGGAGAUAGCGAGAGGAACACUCGUGGCGAAGGCGGGUUCCUGGACAUUAACUGACGCUGAGGCACGAAGGCCAGGGGAGCGAAAGGGAUUAGAUACCCCUGUAGUC